AACGUACGCUGGCGGCACGCCUAACACAUGCAAGUCGAACGAAGUAGCAAUACUUAGUGGCAGACGGGUGAGUAACAUGUAGGUAUCUGCCCUUUGGCCUGGAAUAACACGAGGAAACUUGUGCUAAUACCGGAUAAGUCUUUACGGAGAAAGCUUUAUGCACCAUUGGAUGAGCCUGCACUUGAUUAGUUUGUUGGUGGGGUAAUGGCCUACCAAGACUGUGAUCAAUAGCUGAUUUGAGAGGAUGAUCAGCCACAUUGGGACUGAGACACGGCCCAAACUCCUACGGGAGGCAGCAGUGGGGAAUCUUGCACAAUGGAGGAAACUCUGAUGCAGCGAUGCCGCGUGAGUGAAGAAGGCCCUUGGGUUGUAAAGCUCUUUCGUCGGGGAAGAAAAUGACUGUACCCGAAUAAGAAGGUCCGGCUAACUUCGUGCCAGCAGCCGCGGUAAUACGAAGGGACCUAGCGUAGUUCGGAAUUACUGGGCUUAAAGAGUUCGUAGGUGGUUGAAAAAGUUAGUGGUGAAAUCCCAGAGCUUAACUCUGGAACUGCCAUUAAAACUUUUCAGCUAGAGUAUGAUAGAGGAAAGCAGAAUUUCUAGUGUAGAGGUGAAAUUCGUAGAUAUUAGAAAGAAUACCAAUUGCGAAGGCAGCUUUCUGGAUCAUUACUGACACUGAGGAACGAAAGCAUGGGUAGCGAAGAGGAUUAGAUACCCUCGUAGUCCAUGCCGUAAACGAUGUGUGUUAGACGUUGGAAAUUUAUUUUCAGUGUCGCAGGGAAACCGAUAAACACACCGCCUGGGGAGUACGACCGCAAGGUUAAAACUCAAAUGAAUUGACGGGGACCCGCACAAGUAGUGGAGCAUGUGGUUUAAUUCGAAGAUACGCGCAGAACCUUACCAACACUUGACAUGUUCGUCGCGACUCUAAGAGAUUAGAGUUUUCGGUUCGGCCGGACGAAACACAGGUGCUGCAUGGCUGUCGUCAGCUCGUGUCGUGAGAUGUUGGGUUAAGUCCCGCAACGAGCGCAACCCUCACUUUUAGUUGCCAUCAUUAAGUUGGGCACUCUGAAAGAACUGCCAGUGGUAAGCUGGAGGAAGGUGGGGAUGACGUCAAGUCCUCAUGGCCCUUACGUGUUGGGCUACACACGUGCUACAAUGGUAUCUACAACAGGAAGCAAGACUGCGAAGUUAAGCAAAUCCCUAAAAGAUACCUCAGUUCGGAUUGCACUCUGCAACUCGAGUGCAUGAAGCUGGAAUUACUAGUAAUCGUGGAUCAGCGUGCCACGGUGAAUGCGUUCCCGGGUCU
RNAcentral lists this ribosomal RNA (1306 nucleotides) under uncultured bacterium. RNAcentral describes it as "bacterial SSU rRNA". It matches the Rfam family "Bacterial small subunit ribosomal RNA", at positions 28 to 1381 of the family's 1533-position model. The record is from RNAcentral.